GCUGGCGGCAGGCUUAACACAUGCAAGUCGAACGGGCGUAGCAAUACGUCAGUGGCAGACGGGUGAGUAACACGUGGGAACCUUCCUAGGGGUACGGAACAACUCAGGGAAACUUGAGCUAAUACCGUAUACGUCCGUAAGGAGAAAGAUUUAUCGCCCUUAGACGGGCCCGCGUCGGAUUAGCUAGUUGGUGGGGUAACGGCCUACCAAGGCGACGAUCCGUAGCUGAUCUGAGAGGAUGAUCAGCCACACUGGGACUGAGAUACGGCCCAGACUCCUACGGGAGGCAGCAGUGGGGAAUCUUGGACAAUGGGCGCAAGCCUGAUCCAGCCAUGCCGCGUGAGUGAAGAAGGCCUUAGGGUUGUAAAGCUCUUUUACCAGGGACGAUAAUGACGGUACCUGGAGAAUAAGCCCCGGCAAACUUCGUGCCAGCAGCCGCGGUAAUACGAAGGGGGCUAGCGUUGUUCGGAAUUACUGGGCGUAAAGCGCACGUAGGCGGGUCGUUAAGUCAGGGGUGAAAUCCCGGAGCUCAACUCCGGAACUGCCUUUGAUACUGGCGAUCUAGAGGUCGAGAGAGGUGAGUGGAAUUCCGAGUGUAGAGGUGAAAUUCGUAGAUAUUCGGAAGAACACCAGUGGCGAAGGCGGCUCACUGGCUCGAUACUGACGCUGAGGUGCGAAAGCGU
This 683-nucleotide ribosomal RNA is filed under the name uncultured soil bacterium. RNAcentral describes it as "bacterial SSU rRNA". It matches the Rfam family "Bacterial small subunit ribosomal RNA", at positions 35 to 762 of the family's 1533-position model. The record is from RNAcentral.